CCUACGGGUUGUAAACUUCUUUUAUAAAGGAAUAAAGUGAGGCACGUGUGCCUUUUUGUAUGUACUUUAUGAAUAAGGAUCGGCUAACUCCGUGCCAACAGCCGCGGUAAUACGGAGGAUCCGAGCGUUAUCCGGAUUUAUUGGGUUUAAAGGGAGCGUAGAUGGGUUGUUAAGUCAGUUGUGAAAGUUUGCGGCUCAACCGUAAAAUUGCAAUUGAAACUGGCAGUCUCGAGUUGGAGAGAAGUAUGCGGAAUGCGCGGUGUAGCGGUGAAAUGCAUAGAUAUCGCGCAGAACUCCGAUUGCGAAGGCAGCAUGCCGGCUCCACACUGACGCUGAGGCACGAAAGCGUGGGUAUCGAACAGGAUUAGAUACCCGAGUAGUC
Molecule: ribosomal RNA, 382 nt
Filed under: uncultured bacterium
Lineage: Bacteria
Description: partial 16S ribosomal RNA
Rfam family: Bacterial small subunit ribosomal RNA
Source: RNAcentral